This 222-nucleotide ribosomal RNA is filed under the name uncultured eukaryote. Its description in RNAcentral is "partial 18S ribosomal RNA". The record is from RNAcentral.
GCGGUAAGCUCGUAGUUGGAUUUCUGCUUGGACGACCGGUCCGCCCUCUGGGUGUUGUAUCUGGUUCGGUCCGGGCAUCUUCUUGAGGACGUUGCUGCACUUGAGUGUGUGGUGCGGACUCAAGACUUUCACUUUGAGGAAUUAGAGUGUUUCACGCAGCUUUGCUGAUACGCUAGCAUGGAACGAUAAGAUAGGACCUCGUCCCUACCUUGUUGGUUUGUA